GACGAACGCUGACGGUGUGCUUUAGACAUGCAAGUCGAACGAGAAAGCCCUUCGGGUUAGGUAAAGUAGGCGAACGGGUGAGUAACACGUGGGCAAUCUGCCCCUCGCAGGGGGACAACCGGAGGGAAACUCCGGCUAAUACCCCGUAAGUUCAAAGGGAGGCAUCUCUCUUCGAAGAAAGGUAGCUUCGGCCAUCCGGCGAGGGAUGAGCCCGCGGUGCAUUAGCUAGUUGGUGGGGUAACGGCCUACCAAGGCGACGAUGCAUAGCUGGUCUGAGAGGAUGAUCAGCCACACUGGGACUGAGACACGGCCCAGACUCCUACGGGAGGGCAGCAGUCGGGGAAUCUUGCGCAAUGGGCGAAAAGCCCUGACGCAGCAACACCGUGUGUGGUGAGGAAGGCCUUAGGGUCGUAAAGCACUGUUGUGGGGGACGAAGGGCGAAGGGUUAAUACGCCCCUAGCUUGACGGUA
Molecule: ribosomal RNA, 470 nt
Filed under: uncultured bacterium
Lineage: Bacteria
Description: bacterial SSU rRNA
Rfam family: Bacterial small subunit ribosomal RNA
Source: RNAcentral